This 788-nucleotide ribosomal RNA is filed under the name uncultured bacterium. RNAcentral describes it as "bacterial SSU rRNA". It matches the Rfam family "Bacterial small subunit ribosomal RNA", at positions 8 to 796 of the family's 1533-position model. The record is from RNAcentral.
AGAGUUUGAUCCUGGCUCAGGAUGAACGCUAGCGGGAGGCCUAACACAUGCAAGCCGAGCGGUAGAGUUUCUUCGGAAACUUGAGAGCGGCGCACGGGUGCGUAACACGUGUGCAACCUACCUUUAUCUGGGGGAUAGCCUUUCGAAAGGAAGAUUAAUACCCCAUAAUAUAAUGAUUGGCAUCAAUUAUUAUUGAAAACUCCGGUGGAUAGAGAUGGGCACGCGCAAGAUUAGAUAGUUGGUGAGGUAACGGCUCACCAAGUCAAUGAUCUUUAGGGGUCCUGAGAGGGAGAUCCCCCACACUGGUACUGAGACACGGACCAGACUCCUACGGGAGGCAGCAGUGAGGAAUAUUGGACAAUGGGUGAGAGCCUGAUCCAGCCAUCCCGCGUGAAGGAUGACGGUCCUAUGGAUUGUAAACUUCUUUUGUACAGGGAUAAACCUACUCUCGUGAGGGUAGCUGAAGGUACUGUACGAAUAAGCACCGGCUAACUCCGUGCCAGCAGCCGCGGUAAUACGGAGGGUGCAAGCGUUAUCCGGAUUUAUUGGGUUUAAAGGGUCCGUAGGCGGACUUGUAAGUCAGUGGUGAAAUCUCAUAGCUUAACUAUGAAACUGCCAUUGAUACUGCAGGUCUUGAGUAAAUUUGAAGUGGCUGGAAUAAGUAGAGUAGCGGUGAAAUGCAUAGAUAUUACUUAGAACACCAAUUGCGAAGGCAGGUCACUAAGAUUUAACUGACGCUGAUGGACGAAAGCGUGGGGAGCGAACAGGAUUAGAUACCCUAGUAGUCC